GCGUGGGGAGCGAACCGGAUUAGAUACCCGGGUAGUCCACGCCGUAAACGAUGGAUACUAGCUGUUGGAGGUAUCGACCCCUUCAGUAGCGAAGCUAACGCGUUAAGUAUCCCGCCUGUGGAGUACGGUCGCAAGACUAAAACAUAAAGGAAUUGACGGGGACCCGCACAAGCGGUGGAUCGUGUUCUUUAAUUCGAUGAUAAACGAAGAACCUUACCAGGGUUUGACAUCCUUGGAAUUUCUGUGAAAGCAGAGAGUGCUUUAUUGAGCCAAGUGACAGGUGAUGCAUGGCCGUCGUCAGCUCGUGUCGUGAGAUGUUUGGUUAAGUCCAUCAACGAGCGCAACCCUUGUGAAUAGUUGUAUUUUUCUAUUCAGACUGCCCCGGUAACGGGGAGGAAGGAGGGGAUGAUGUCAGGUCAGUACUUCCCUUACACCCUGGGCUAGAAACACGAUACAAUGGUUAGUACAAUGCGCANGCGAANGCCGCGAGGUGGGGCAAAUCGCAUCAAAGCUAAUCUCAGUUCGGAUAAGAGGCUGAAACUCGCCUCUUUGAAGUCGGAAUCGCUAGUAAUCGCAGAUCAGCAAGCUGCGGUGAAUACGUUCCCGGGUCUUGUACACACCGCCCGUCAAACCAUGAAAGUGACCAACACCCGAAGUCCGAUUCGUCGGCCUAAGGUGGGGGGCAUGAUUGGGGUU
RNAcentral lists this ribosomal RNA (696 nucleotides) under uncultured Candidatus Saccharibacteria bacterium. RNAcentral describes it as "bacterial SSU rRNA". It matches the Rfam family "Bacterial small subunit ribosomal RNA", at positions 759 to 1482 of the family's 1533-position model. The record is from RNAcentral. Lineage: Bacteria; Candidatus Saccharimonadota.